This 433-nucleotide ribosomal RNA is filed under the name uncultured bacterium. RNAcentral describes it as "bacterial SSU rRNA". It matches the Rfam family "Bacterial small subunit ribosomal RNA", at positions 352 to 782 of the family's 1533-position model. The record is from RNAcentral.
CAGUAAGGAAUAUUGGUCAAUGGGCGGAAGCCUGAACCAGCCAUGCCGCGUGCAGGAAGACGGCCCUACGGGUUGUAAACUGCUUUUGCAGGGGAAUAAACCCCCGUAUGUAUACGGGGUUGAAUGUACUCUGAGAAUAAGGAUCGGCUAACUCCGUGCCAGCAGCCGCGGUAAUACGGAGGAUCCGAGCGUUAUCCGGAUUUAUUGGGUUUAAAGGGUGCGUAGGCGGCCUUGUAAGUCAGGGGUGAAAGACGGUAGCUUAACUAUCGCAGUGCCUUUGAUACUGCAGGGCUUGAAUGUACUUGAGGCAGGCGGAAUGUGACAAGUAGCGGUGAAAUGCAUAGAUAUGUCACAGAACACCAAUUGCGAAGGCAGCUUGCUAAAGUAUGAUUGACGCUGAGGCACGAAAGCGUGGGGAUCAAACAGGAUUAGA